This 433-nucleotide ribosomal RNA is filed under the name uncultured prokaryote. Its description in RNAcentral is "bacterial SSU rRNA". It matches the Rfam family "Bacterial small subunit ribosomal RNA", at positions 355 to 785 of the family's 1533-position model. The record is from RNAcentral.
UGGGGAAUAUUGGGCAAUGGGCGGAAGCCUGACCCAGCCAUGCCGCGUGUCGGAAGAAGGCCUUCUGGGUUGUAAACGACUUUUACCAGGGAAGAAAAGGUAGCCUGCGGGCUGUUUUGCCGGUACCUGGGGAAUAAGCACCGGCUAACACCGUGCCAGCAGCCGCGGUAAUACGGAGGGUGCGAGCGUUGUCCGGAUUUAUUGGGUUUAAAGGGUGCGUAGGCGGCCUGGUAAGUCGGCGUUGAAAGACAGUGGCUCAACCAUUGAGACGGCACCGAUACUGCCAGGCUAGAGAGGCGACGAGGUUAGCGGAAUUGGUGGAGUAGCGGUGAAAUGCAUAGAUACCACCAGGAACCCCGAUAGCGAAGGCAGCUAACUGGUCGUCAUCUGACGCUGAGGCACGAAAGCGUGGGGAGCAAACAGGAUUAGAUAC